GCUCCCGUAGGCUAACUGGAUAAACCGCUGGCCUCCGAAGCCGGAAUUUCGCGUUCGAAUCGCGACGGGAGCA
This 73-nucleotide transfer RNA is filed under the name Planctomycetota bacterium. RNAcentral's name for it is "Planctomycetes bacterium (activated sludge metagenome) tRNA-Arg". It matches the Rfam family "tRNA". From Rfam's summary of the family: Transfer RNA (tRNA) molecules are approximately 80 nucleotides in length. Their secondary structure includes four short double-helical elements and three loops (D, anti-codon, and T loops). Further hydrogen bonds mediate the characteristic L-shaped molecular structure. tRNAs have two regions of fundamental functional importance: the anti-codon, which is responsible for specific mRNA codon recognition, and the 3' end, to which the tRNAs corresponding amino acid is attached (by aminoacyl-tRNA synthetases). tRNAs cope with the degeneracy of the genetic code in two manners: having more than one tRNA (with a specific anti-codon) for a particular amino acid; and 'wobble' base-pairing, i.e. permitting non-standard base-pairing at the 3rd anti-codon position. Lineage: Bacteria; Pseudomonadati; Planctomycetota. The record is from RNAcentral.